AGAGUUUGAUCCUGGCUCAGGAUGAACGCUGGCGGCGUGCCUAAUACAUGCAAGUCGAGCGAACGGACGAGAAGCUUGCUUCUCUGAUGUUAGCGGCGGACGGGUGAGUAACACGUGGAUAACCUACCUAUAAGACUGGGAUAACUUCGGGAAACCGGAGCUAAUACCGGAUAAUAUUUUGAACCGCAUGGUUCAAAAGUGAAAGACGGUCUUGCUGUCACUUAUAGAUGGAUCCGCGCUGCAUUAGCUAGUUGGUAAGGUAACGGCUUACCAAGGCAACGAUGCAUAGCCGACCUGAGAGGGUGAUCGGCCACACUGGAACUGAGACACGGUCCAGACUCCUACGGGAGGCAGCAGUAGGGAAUCUUCCGCAAUGGGCGAAAGCCUGACGGAGCAACGCCGCGUGAGUGAUGAAGGUCUUCGGAUCGUAAAACUCUGUUAUUAGGGAAGAACAUAUGUGUAAGUAACUGUGCACAUCUUGACGGUACCUAAUCAGAAAGCCACGGCUAACUACGUGCCAGCAGCCGCGGUAAUACGUAGGUGGCAAGCGUUAUCCGGAAUUAUUGGGCGUAAAGCGCGCGUAGGCGGUUUUUUAAGUCUGAUGUGAAAGCCCACGGCUCAACCGUGGAGGGUCAUUGGAAACUGGAAAACUUGAGUGCAGAAGAGGAAAGUGGAAUUCCAUGUGUAGCGGUGAAAUGCGCAGAGAUAUGGAGGAACACCAGUGGCGAAGGCGACUUUCUGGUCUGUAACUGACGCUGAUGUGCGAAAGCGUGGGGAUCAAACAGGAUUAGAUACCCUGGUAGUCCACGCCGUAAACGAUGAGUGCUAAGUGUUAGGGGGUUUCCGCCCCUUAGUGCUGCAGCUAACGCAUUAAGCACUCCGCCUGGGGAGUACGACCGCAAGGUUGAAACUCAAAGGAAUUGACGGGGACCCGCACAAGCGGUGGAGCAUGUGGUUUAAUUCGAAGCAACGCGAAGAACCUUACCAAAUCUUGACAUCCUUUGACAACUCUAGAGAUAGAGCCUUCCCCUUCGGGGGACAAAGUGACAGGUGGUGCAUGGUUGUCGUCAGCUCGUGUCGUGAGAUGUUGGGUUAAGUCCCGCAACGAGCGCAACCCUUAAGCUUAGUUGCCAUCAUUAAGUUGGGCACUCUAAGUUGACUGCCGGUGACAAACCGGAGGAAGGUGGGGAUGACGUCAAAUCAUCAUGCCCCUUAUGUUUUGGGCUACACACGUGCUACAAUGGACAAUACAAAGGGCAGCGAAACCGCGAGGUCAAGCAAAUCCCAUAAAGUUGUUCUCAGUUCGGAUUGUAGUCUGCAACUCGACUACAUGAAGCUGGAAUCGCUAGUAAUCGUAGAUCAGCAUGCUACGGUGAAUACGUUCCCGGGUCUUGUACACACCGCCCGUCACACCACGAGAGUUUGUAACACCCGAAGCCGGUGGAGUAACCUUUUAGGAGCUAGCCGUCGAAGGUGGGACAAAUGAUUGGGGUGAAGUCGUAACAAGGUAGCCGUAUCGGAAGGUGCGGCUGGAUCACCU
RNAcentral lists this ribosomal RNA (1540 nucleotides) under Staphylococcus aureus. RNAcentral's name for it is "16S ribosomal RNA". It matches the Rfam family "Bacterial small subunit ribosomal RNA". Lineage: Bacteria; Bacillati; Bacillota; Bacilli; Caryophanales; Staphylococcaceae. The record is from RNAcentral.